GUAUCCCUACUCCUCUUGCGUGGUUUGCACAUCAUUUGCCCUCCUGGUUUCAAAGAUUUAGUGUUAUGAUGACGUUUGUCAUAGAAAUACCGAUCCCAUUCUUAUUCUUUUCACCGAUAAGAUCCCUACGAAUGUUUGCUUUUUAUUUGCAGGUGACGUUCCAGUUGCUGAUAAUUGCCACAGGAAAUUAUAAUUUCUUUAAUUUGCUCACCAUCGCUCUGUGCUUGUCACUUCUUCAUGACAAUGAUCU
Molecule: long non-coding RNA, 250 nt
Organism: Xenia sp. Carnegie-2017
Lineage: Eukaryota; Metazoa; Cnidaria; Anthozoa; Malacalcyonacea; Xeniidae
Exons: 3
Source: RefSeq, a predicted model, not a curated record